RNAcentral lists this ribosomal RNA (441 nucleotides) under Vibrio owensii. Its description in RNAcentral is "bacterial SSU rRNA". It matches the Rfam family "Bacterial small subunit ribosomal RNA", at positions 475 to 916 of the family's 1533-position model. Lineage: Bacteria; Pseudomonadati; Pseudomonadota; Gammaproteobacteria; Vibrionales; Vibrionaceae. The record is from RNAcentral.
UUAGCGACAGAAGAAGCACCGGCUAACUCCGUGCCAGCAGCCGCGGUAAUACGGAGGGUGCGAGCGUUAAUCGGAAUUACUGGGCGUAAAGCGCAUGCAGGUGGUUUGUUAAGUCAGAUGUGAAAGCCCGGGGCUCAACCUCGGAAUAGCAUUUGAAACUGGCAGACUAGAGUACUGUAGAGGGGGGUAGAAUUUCAGGUGUAGCGGUGAAAUGCGUAGAGAUCUGAAGGAAUACCGGUGGCGAAGGCGGCCCCCUGGACAGAUACUGACACUCAGAUGCGAAAGCGUGGGGAGCAAACAGGAUUAGAACCCUGGUAGUCCACGCCGUAAACGAUGUCUACUUGGAGGUUGUGGCCUUGAGCCGUGGCUUUCGGAGCUAACGCGUUAAGUAGACCGCCUGGGGAGUACGGUCGCAAGAUUAAAACUUAAAGGAAUUGACGG